This 252-nucleotide long non-coding RNA is filed under the name Lathyrus oleraceus (garden pea). RNAcentral describes it as "Pisum sativum (pea) long non-coding RNA (PSAT_LNC011135)". The record is from RNAcentral. Lineage: Eukaryota; Viridiplantae; Streptophyta; Magnoliopsida; Fabales; Fabaceae.
UCUUGUUCAUCUUUUUUCUCCAAGAAUGCAAGGUGCAAUUGACAUUCUCCACUAGGUAAGUCUUCCUUACUUUAUGCCUCUUCAUGCUAGCCAUUCACCAUACUUAAGCUCAUUCAUCUUCAUCUGGAAGAUCCACUCUUGAAGUGGAUCAUAGAGCUAGGCUCAUAAUUUUAUGUAUAGCUUUGUUUGAAUGAUGUACGAUUUUGUUUGAACUCGUAUGUUCAUGCUCAUUUAUCUCCACGCUCCUUUGUC